This 847-nucleotide ribosomal RNA is filed under the name Heteroradulum kmetii. RNAcentral's name for it is "partial large subunit ribosomal RNA". It matches the Rfam family "Eukaryotic large subunit ribosomal RNA", at positions 77 to 915 of the family's 3401-position model. Lineage: Eukaryota; Fungi; Basidiomycota; Agaricomycetes; Auriculariales; Auriculariaceae. The record is from RNAcentral.
CCCCUAGUAACGGCGAGUGAAGCGGGAAGAGCUCAAAUUUGAAAUCUGGCGGUCUACGGCCGUCCGAGUUGUAAUCUAGAGAGGUGUUUUCCGUGCCGGACCGUGUACAAGUCCCUUGGAACAGGGCGUCAUAGAGGGUGAGAAUCCCGUCCAUGACACGGACUACCGGUGCUCUGUGAUACACCUUCAAAGAGUCGAGUUGUUUGGGAAUGCAGCUCAAAAUGGGUGGUAAAUUCCAUCUAAAGCUAAAUACAGGCGAGAGACCGAUAGCGAACAAGUACCGUGAGGGAAAGAUGAAAAGAACUUUGGAAAGAGAGUUAAACAGUACGUGAAAUUGUUGAAAGGGAAACGCUUGAAGUCAGUCGCGUCUGCCAGGACUCAGCCUUGCUUCUGCAUGGUGCAUUUCCUGGUGGAUGGGCCAGCAUCGAUUUUGGUCGCCGGACAAGGGCGGGAGGAAUGUGGCAGCUUGCUGUGUUAUAGCCUCCCGUCGUACACGGUGGUUGGGAUCGAGGACUGCAGCACGCCUUUGGUCGGGGUUCGCCCACGCCACGUGCUUAGGAUGCUGGCGUAAUGGCUUUAAACGACCCGUCUUGAAACACGGACCAAGGAGUCUAACAUGCCUGCGAGUGUUUGGGCGUUAAACCCAGGCGCGUAAUGAAAGUGAAAAGUUGGGACUCUUUAGUGAGGCACCGACGCCCGAUCCUGACGUUCUCUGACGGAUUUGAGGUAGAGCAUGUAUGUUGGGACCCGAAAGAUGGUGAACUAUGCCUGAAUAGGGUGAAGCCAGAGGAAACUCUGGUGGAGGCUCGUAGCGAUUCUGACGUGCAAAUCGAUCGUCAAAUUUGGG